AGUACCCCAGAUACACCAAAGAGCUCGGUGGUGAGAAUGGGUGUUAAUUACAUAAACCUACCUCCAGUGGUGGAAAAACAACUUCUGCUUUGCUUGAGUUGUCAAUAGAAACUUUCAAGAGAUAGAACAUUACUAUAAUCUCAAGCCAAAAGAGCUACUUAGGUUGGUCUGGCUAACCACCGACUCCCUCUGUGUAGACAGAAAGGGAAGAGGCAGAGCCUCGAAGUAAGCUACUGGAGGCAUGUGACAAGUCCUAGUGGGAGGAC
This 266-nucleotide long non-coding RNA is filed under the name Bos taurus (domestic cattle). Its description in RNAcentral is "long non-coding RNA NONBTAT018193". The record is from RNAcentral. Lineage: Eukaryota; Metazoa; Chordata; Mammalia; Artiodactyla; Bovidae.